GACGAACGCUGGCGGCGUGCCUAAUACAUGCAAGUAGGACGCAGUUGCGAACGGGUGAGUAACGCGUAGGUAACUACCUAUUAGAGGGGGAUAACUAUGGGAAACGAUAGCUAAUACCGCAUACUAGUAGAUGGACCUGCGUUGUAUUAGCUAGUAGGUAGGGUAAUGGCCUACCUAGGCAACGGUACAUAGCCGACCUGAGAGGGUGAUCGGGCACACUGGGACUGAGACACCGCCCAGACUCCCACGGGAGGCAGGAGUAGGGAAUCUUCGGCAAUGGGGGGAAAGCUGAACGAGCAACGCCGGGGGAGUGGAGAAGGGUUUCGGAUCGUAAAGCUCUGUUGUUAAGGAAGCGGUACUUAACCAGAAAGGGACGGCUAACUACGUGCCAGCAGCCGCGGUAAUUC
Molecule: ribosomal RNA, 407 nt
Filed under: uncultured bacterium
Lineage: Bacteria
Description: partial 16S ribosomal RNA
Rfam family: Bacterial small subunit ribosomal RNA
Source: RNAcentral